GGCGGCGUGCCUAACACAUGCAAGUCGAACGCGGCUACCUCGCAAGAGGUAGCUGAGUGGCGAACGGGUGAGUAACACGUGGGUGACCUACCUUCGAGUGGGGGAUAACGUCCCGAAAGGGACGCUAAUACCGCAUAACCUCCCGCCUUUGAACGGGUGGAGAUCAAAGCUGGGGAUCGCAAGACCUGUUGUUUGAAGAGGGGCCCGCGUCUGAUUAGCUAGUUGGUGAGGUAACGGCCCACCAAGGCAACGAUCAGUAUCCGGCCUGAGAGGGCGGACGGACACACUGGGACUGACACACCGCCCACACUCCUACGGGAGGCAGCAGUGGGGAAUUGUUCGCAAUGGGCGCAAGCCUGACCACGCACCGCCGCGUGAAGGAUGAAGGUCUUCGGAUUGUAAACUCCUGUUGCCCGGGACGAAUGGCUCCGACCUAACACGUCGGAGUGUGACGGUACCGGGUGAGGAACCCCCUGCUAACUCUGUGCCAGCAGCCGCGGUAAUACAGAGGGGGCAAGCGUUGUUCAUAAUUACUGGGCGUAAAGGGCGCGUAGGCGGCCCGCUAAGUCGAACGUGAAAUCCCCGGGCUCAACCCGGGAACUGCGUCCGAUACUGGCAUGCUUGAAUCCGAGAGAGGGAUGCAGAA
RNAcentral lists this ribosomal RNA (646 nucleotides) under uncultured bacterium. RNAcentral's name for it is "bacterial SSU rRNA". It matches the Rfam family "Bacterial small subunit ribosomal RNA", at positions 38 to 666 of the family's 1533-position model. The record is from RNAcentral.